This 67-nucleotide transfer RNA is filed under the name Inocellia elegans. RNAcentral describes it as "tRNA-His". Lineage: Eukaryota; Metazoa; Arthropoda; Insecta; Raphidioptera; Inocelliidae. The record is from RNAcentral.
AUUUAAAUAGUUUAAUUUAAAAUAUUGAUUUGUGGAAUCAAAGUUAUAAUAAUAAUUAUUUUAAAUA